Molecule: transfer RNA, 75 nt
Filed under: Rhodospirillales bacterium
Lineage: Bacteria; Pseudomonadati; Pseudomonadota; Alphaproteobacteria; Rhodospirillales
Description: tRNA-Val
Rfam family: tRNA
About the family: Transfer RNA (tRNA) molecules are approximately 80 nucleotides in length.
Source: RNAcentral
GCGGGCGUAGCUCAGCGGUAGAGCACGGCGUUUACACCGCCGGUGUCGGAGGUUCGACUCCUUCCGCCCGCACCA